GUGCUCAAUUCAGUAGCAUAUAUACUCAAAUUGGAACAAUACAAAGAAGAUUAGCAUGGCCCCUGUGCAAAAAAACAAAAACAAAACAAAACAAAAAUCUAUGUCUU
This 107-nucleotide small nuclear RNA is filed under the name Ursus thibetanus thibetanus. Lineage: Eukaryota; Metazoa; Chordata; Mammalia; Carnivora; Ursidae. The record is from RNAcentral.